This 699-nucleotide long non-coding RNA is filed under the name Gallus gallus (chicken). The record is from RNAcentral. Lineage: Eukaryota; Metazoa; Chordata; Aves; Galliformes; Phasianidae.
GUAAAUAAAGCUGCAGCAAUCUGGUUGAUAGCUUUUGCCAAGCAAUGAAUGUUGUUGCAGUGCCCUUCAAUGGCAGGGCUAUACUGAGACAUCACGUUACUAGCCAAAGUUGGCAAGGAGACUGCCACGAAGACCAUGAGAAGGCAAGCAAUUUUGUAUUCUUCUUCUGGACUGAUGUUUUCUGAUUUUUGGGAGGACAGUGCUACAACCAAGGCAGGAUCAAUCUCGCAAGGCAAUCCAGCAGCUGAUGACAGUUCAUAUACAUUCAUUGCCACCUUCAUGUCAGUCUCUCUUGGAAUGUGAUCUUUGAAGUCCUCAAUGGAACUUACAAGGAAAGGAAUGUGGUAGGAUAAGACAUCUCUAAGUGCUUCCUGUGCCAACGACCGAAAAGACAAGAUGACACCAAUAAUCGUCAUUCUCUUCAAAACACUGUCAACAGAUGAUAAUCUUUUGAAGAGUGCUGCCAUCUGGUCUGGCUUAUCGAAGCUGGUCCUCAUUUGUGUUAGAACUUCAACAUUCUCCACCACGAGUUUCUAAAGAGAAGCAAAGAUUUCGGUCAGCUAUCCAUUCUGACAGAUUAAUUAGAUAAAUGCACAAUUUAGGAUAUUUCUUCCCACUUUGUUUUCAUUGAGAAGCAAGGCAAGAAAAGCAAUUCUAUGGUUCUAUGAAAUAAGCUAUAAAAGAUGCAGCAAACUAACC